Molecule: ribosomal RNA, 2073 nt
Filed under: human metagenome
Description: bacterial LSU rRNA
Rfam family: Bacterial large subunit ribosomal RNA
Source: RNAcentral
UUAAGUAGUAAAGGGCGCACGGAGGAUGCCUUGGCACUAGGAGCCGAUGAAGGACGUGACAAACGACGAAAUGCUACGGGGAGCUGUAAGUAAGCAAAGAGCCGUAGAUAUCCGAAUGGGGGAACCCACCGCUUUUAAAAGGGCGGUACGCGAAAGCGAGGUAACGCAGGGAACUGAAACAUCUAAGUACCUGUAGGAAGAGAAAGAAAAAUCGAUUUCCUUAGUAGCGGCGAGCGAAAAGGAAGGAGCCCAAACCAAUGUGCUUGCAUAUUGGGGUUGUAGGACUCUCAACAAAUCGUAUGACGAAGUAUAGUAGAACAAGCUGGAAAGUUAGACCGUAGAAGGUAAAAGUCCUGUAUACGAAAUGCUAAGUUGGCGAGAGAGAGCACCUGAGUACGGCGGAACACGAGGAAUUCCGUCGGAAUCUACCAGGACCAUCUGGUAAGGCUAAAUACUACCUAGUGACCGAUAGUGAACCAGUACCGUGAGGGAAAGGUGAAAAGAACCCCGGGAGGGGAGUGAAAGAGAACCUGAAACCGUGUGCUUACAAGUAGUCAGAGCCCUUUCGGGGGUGAUGGCGUGCCUUUUGUAGAAUGAACCGGCGAGUUACUUUAUCAUGCGAGGUUAAGUGGAAGACAUGGAGCCGAAGCGAAAGCGAGUCUUAAUAGGGCGAAAUAGUAUGAUGGAGUAGACCCGAAACCAAGUGAUCUACCCAUGGCCAGGUUGAAGUUUAGGUAACACUGAAUGGAGGACCGAACCAGGACACGUUGAAAAGUGUUUGGAUGAGCUGUGGGUAGCGGAGAAAUUCCAAUCGAACUUGGAAAUAGCUGGUUCUCUCCGAAAUAGCUUUAGGGCUAGCCUCGUUGUGAGUUUACUGGAGGUAGAGCACUGUUUGGACUAGGGGCCCAUCCCGGGUUACCGAAUUCAGACAAACUCCGAAUGCCAGAUAAAUAUCAACGGGAGUCAGACUGCGGGUGAUAAGGUUCGUAGUCGAAAGGGAAACAGCCCAGACCGCCAGCUAAGGUCCCAAAUUGUAUGUUAAGUGGAAAAGGAUGUGAUGAUGCACAGACAACCAGGAUGUUGGCUUAGAAGCAGCCACCAUUUAAAGAGUGCGUAAUAGCUCACUGGUCGAGUGACAUCGCGCCGAAAAUGUACCGGGGCUAAACAUACAACCGAAGCUGCGGAUAUAACUAAUGUUAUAUGGUAGGAGAGCGUUCUAACAUCAUAGAAGCUGAGCUGUAAGGCGAGGUGGAGAGGUUAGAAGUGAGAAUGCCGGUGUGAGUAGCGAAAGAUAGGUGAGAAUCCUAUCCACCGAAUGACUAAGGUUUCCAGAGGAAGGCUCGUCCGCUCUGGGUAAGUCGGGACCUAAGGUGAAGCCGAAUGGUGAAGCCGAUGGACAACAGGUAGAAAUUCCUGUACCACCAAAUAUCGUUUGAGAGAAGUGGGGACAGAGGAGGCUAAUUGAUCGUCCUGAUGGAAUAGGACGUCUAAGCACAAAGGUUGAGUAGUAGGCAAAUCCGCUGCUCAUAAGACUGAAGUGUGAUGGGGAGCGAAAUAUAGUAGCGAAGUCAAUGAAGCCAAACUCUCAAGAAAAGCCGCUAUCGAGAUAAGAGGUGCCCGUACCGCAAACCGACACAGGUAGUUGGGAAGAGAAUUCUAAGGUGAGCGAGAGAACCAUCGUUAAGGAACUCGGCAAAAUGACCCCGUAACUUCGGGAGAAGGGGUGCCUACGAGAGUAGGCCGCAGUGAAUAGGCCCAAGCGACUGUUUAACAAAAACACAGGUCUCUGCAAAACCGUAAGGUGAAGUAUAGGGGCUGACGCCUGCCCGGUGCUGGAAGGUUAAGAGGAGUGCUUAGCGUAAGCGAAGGUAUGAAUUGAAGCCCCAGUAAACGGCGGCCGUAACUAUAACGGUCCUAAGGUAGCGAAAUUCCUUGUCGGGUAAGUUCCGACCCGCACGAAAGGCGUAACGAUUUGGGCACUGUCUCAACGAUGGACUCGGUGAAAUCAUAGUACCUGUGAAGAUGCAGGUUACCCGCGACAGGACGGAAAGACCCCAUGGAGCUUUACUGUAG